Molecule: ribosomal RNA, 253 nt
Filed under: uncultured bacterium
Lineage: Bacteria
Description: partial 16S ribosomal RNA
Rfam family: Bacterial small subunit ribosomal RNA
Source: RNAcentral
UACGAAGGGGGCUAGCGUUGUUCGGAAUUACUGGGCGUAAAGGGCGCGUAGGCGGUGUGUCAAGUCAGGCGUGAAAGCCCCGGGCUCAACCUGGGAAUUGCAUUCGAGACUGAAUAGCUAGGGUACGGUAGAGGGAAGUGGAAUUUCCGGUGUAGCGGUGAAAUGCGUAGAUAUCGGAAGGAACAUCAGUGGCGAAAGCGACUUCCUGGACCAGUACCGACGUUCAGGCACGAAAGCGUGGGGAGCAAACAGG